CUUAACACAUGCAAGUCGAACGAAGCACUUUGAUCGAUUUCUUCGGAAUGAAGUUUUAGUGACUGAGUGGCGGACGGGUGAGUAACGCGUGGGUAACCUGCCUUAUACAGGGGGAUAACAGUCAGAAAUGGCUGCUAAUACCGCAUAAGCGCACAGAGCUGCAUGGCUCAGUGUGAAAAACUCCGGUGGUAUAAGAUGGACCCGCGUUGGAUUAGCUUGUUGGUGGGGUAACGGCCCACCAAGGCGACGAUCCAUAGCCGGCCUGAGAGGGUGAACGGCCACAUUGGGACUGAGACACGGCCCAGACUCCUACGGGAGGCAGCAGUGGGGAAUAUUGCACAAUGGGGGGAACCCUGAUGCAGCGACGCCGCGUGAAGGAAGAAGUAUCUCGGUAUGUAAACUUCUAUCAGCAGGGAAGAUAGUGACGGUACCUGACUAAGAAGCCCCGGCUAACUACGUGCCAGCAGCCGCGGUAAUACGUAGGGGGCAAGCGUUAUCCGGAUUUACUGGGUGUAAAGGGAGCGUAGACGGUGUGGCAAGUCUGAUGUGAAAGGCAUGGGCUCAACCUGUGGACUGCAUUGGAAACUGUCAUACUUGAGUGCCGGAGGGGUAAGCGGAAUUCCUAGUGUAGCGGUGAAAUGCGUAGAUAUUAGGAGGAACACCAGUGGCGAAGGCG
RNAcentral lists this ribosomal RNA (676 nucleotides) under uncultured Lachnospiraceae bacterium. RNAcentral's name for it is "bacterial SSU rRNA". It matches the Rfam family "Bacterial small subunit ribosomal RNA", at positions 47 to 723 of the family's 1533-position model. Lineage: Bacteria; Bacillati; Bacillota; Clostridia; Lachnospirales; Lachnospiraceae. The record is from RNAcentral.